Long non-coding RNA from Juglans microcarpa x Juglans regia, 1495 nucleotides. RefSeq lists it as uncharacterized. The transcript is spliced from 2 exons. NCBI's taxonomy places the organism in Eukaryota, Viridiplantae, Streptophyta, Magnoliopsida, Fagales, Juglandaceae. The record is from RefSeq and is a predicted model, not a curated record.
UAUAAUAUAGCAUCUUAGAUUGGUUUGCAAAGAUAGCAAGAAGCUAGAAGUUGUAUUAUUUGUCAAAUUGGCUUGCUUCCAGGGAUUUUGGUGCAUGGAUGUAUCUGAAAUAUAUAUAUAUAUAUAUAUAUUUUUUAGUCUGGACGCAUGCGAUAUGCCAUUUUGUUCUUCUUUUGACUGAAUGUAUGUGUCUCUUUAAAAAUAGGAAAAAUUAUACUUUUCACCGACAAACUACAGUCUAUUUUUCAUCAGUAUCCUAACCUACAUUUUUAAAGGUCAGAUUAUUGUUAGUUUAAGGUGCGAAUAUAAACUUUUUGUAAUUUAGAAAAUUGGUGGUAGUUUGUGGUGAGAACUUUAAUCACUCUUAUAUGUAUUAUCGCCUUUAGCAAAUUUCCUAGUUACUUGCUAAAAGCAUUGGGUCUUUUCAUGGUGGAGUUGAAAGCUUGUUGUGCUUUUUGCUGCUUUACUAAAAAGUUGAAGCAUUUGCUCUGAAUUUGCUCAUAGUCUAACCUAAACCUCAAUUUUUUUAUUUGGAUAUUGGAUAUUUCCCCAUUCCCGUUCUCAAUUGUUAUAAUUGCCCCACAUUUAUCGGUAAACUUGAAUCCAGAGCUUUACUGUUACUAAUGUAUCAGAUAGACUGGCCAGUAGAUUUUCAUCCUGCUGUUGUUCGAAUGCGUUUUAAAAUUGGUGCAGUUUGAUUAAGUAUAUGGACAAGGAAAAUUCUAUACACCACACUACCAUCUCACUUUCAUCCCACUAUGUAAGAUGUGAUACAUUUAUCACUAUUAGAUGAUCCUUUAUUGGAUGAUUUUUUAUUAUUUAACGGUGAUAAAUGUAUCACAUCUUAUAUAGUGAGAUGUGAGUGUGUUGUAUAGUAUUAUUCGACAAGGAAAAUCCAAAUGAAUUCACCUUCUCCUUAAAGAUAGGGAAAUAAUGUAGUGGGUUGCCUUCUUUACAGGAAGCCUUUGGUCUUAAAGGUCAUUGCUGGAAUCGUGUCUUGUGCCACUGCUAGACCCGAGUGCCAGUACCAUCCGCAUAACCCUUAAAUGUCAUCACCAUCCCAACUCUUGGGCAGAUCCCUCGUCCGAUCCAAGCCAGGAUCAAGAACUUAUCCUUUUUCUUCCAUGGCAGGAUCGGCAGUAUUCAUAGAUGCACUACUUCCUAUAAUGGAGGCAAGUUCAAUUUCUUUAUUGGCAUCCCAACUUUUUGAUUAAGUGAGCGUCAUUUAAAAAUAAAAAAGGUGAGUAACCUUUACGACUUUCCCGACUUAUAAUAUAAGUUCGAAUUUUUUUUUUUUUAGCCUACUGGUGUAUUUUAUCUAUAUUGAAUCAUUGAGCCACCAAAGUUGCAGAAAAAGGUAAUUCCGUUUAACCCAUCACUAUGAAUCGGUAAACAGCAAGCUUCCUUACAAUAGGAGAGAUUUUCUGAUGGCUGCCAAACAUUUACCAAAAAACAAACUACUUUCCAAUGGUUUAUUUACAAAUCUAAAUUGAAA